AAAAUUUAUUACCCUACUUUAAUUUUUAAGUGAAUGUUAAAAAUAAAUUCCUAUAUUUUAUGUUCUGUUUGAGUUGUUAUCUUGUCGUAGGGAAAGCAGAGUUUUAUAUUUAAUUAUUUGAUUUGUGUUACAAAUAGAUUUCAAAAUUAUUUCACCCAUGGCAAAGAAUACAGUUUCAUUCCAUCAUAUCCAAGACGCCGAAGAAAAAGAGGAGAAGGUCCAGGAAAACGGUUUUUAUGUCCUAAGUGUAGUUAUUCCACUGACCAGAGAGGUGAUUUUACUAGACACGAGUUAACUCAUACUGGGGAACGACCACAUGCAUGCAACAUUUGUAACAAACGAUUUACUUUAAAGGGGAAUCUUCAGGCACAUUUAGUACUGCAUUAUAGACAGAGUAAUAAUUUGUAAUAAAUUUUUGUAAAUAAAUGUGUAAUUUUGUA
This is a long non-coding RNA of Stegodyphus dumicola, 440 nucleotides long. RefSeq lists it as uncharacterized. The record is from RefSeq and is a predicted model, not a curated record. Lineage: Eukaryota; Metazoa; Arthropoda; Arachnida; Araneae; Eresidae.